AGUACGGAACUAAAAGGCCGGCGCGAACUGCCUGCCUGCCUGCCGCUGCCGCCUCCGCGCUCCUGCUCCGCGCUCCGCCCUCGGUACCGCGAGUCCGCCCCGUCGCCAUGGCUGGGCUUGUGGUCAGUGGAACUCAAGUGUCCUACAUAGGCCAGGACUGCAGAGAGAUUCCAGAGCACCUCGGCAGGGACUAUGGACACUUUGCAAAGAGGCUCGACCUGAGCUUUAACCUUCUGAGAUCAAAGUCAAACGUCCCAGUGGCAUCGCACCCCUAAGGCCUUGACGCUGCUGCACGUGAAUCUCCGGCUCCCCUCUUGGUGCCCUUGAAGACGCAUCAAGCAUAAGCAUCCUGUCUUACGUGUGUCCCUAUGAGAGGGCCGUUGGUGUCCUCUUGUUCUUUUCUCACUGAUGCCCUUGCGGACAAGUGGCAAUACUUUUGGGGAAGGAGUGAGAUAAAGCCAGCUGGUGUCUUGGGGGUGUUAGGAAUGCUUUCCUGGGUAACCCCAUCUCCCAGGUAGCAUGCGUGCGUCUUCUCUCUCUCUUUUUUUUUUUCUUUGCCUUUUAAUGAAUUGGAACCUUAAAUAUUUGUGAUGCUGAUUUCUCCCAGAUGGUAUUUCAGAGUAAUUGAAACACUGCUGCCAUGGGGGUGGAUGGGAGGGAAACUCAAACAACUGUUCCAGUCUUGGCAGAAGGUAAGGGUGCUGGUCUGUAUUCUCCCAGUGGAGACAACGGUUAUUUUCUUCCUAAAAGGUUUUGAAUUGCAACGGGCUUGGGGGCCUGGCCGAGGGAAGGAGGAGGUGCCCGGAAAGCCCGUGUCAGUGGGAUAAAUGGACAGGGAUCUGGGGGGUGGCUUGUCCUAACCGGUACCUCUACACAGAGCUUGGCCCUAAGUGUCCCUCUGAAAGCCGCCUGUCCUCUGAAUGGAGCCAUUGGUCUCGAGUGGAAGGAGAGAUGAGGAGCUGGAAUCCCACCCUAGGGCUCUGAUGCUUUGCUUCUUCCAUCUUGUGGAGUCUCCACUCUGAGUCGGGACCCUCUGGAAUGAGGAGGAUGGGACAAAACUCGGUGCUUGAAGGCACCAGAGGGUAGAGGGGACUGUGAGUUGAAGCUGAGCCGGCAGAGUUUCUUGGUGGUGCUCAGGCGCAAGGCCAGGCUAGGAUGCAUCGUCCCGACAGAAGGGGCCUCCAGGGGCUUGCGUGGGAAGAGUAUGGGCAAUGCACGCGUUCUCUUCCUGACUCCCAAGGGUUUGUAUGCUUCUGGGGAGACGGGGAAACAGAAAAGUCACCAAGAAAUGGAGUGAUGAGAGGAUGCCAAACAAACGCUGCCUCUAAAGAAAUUAAGGGUGGUGUUGGGUCCUUAUGCAAGGAGGGGACAGAAUAUACAGCCUCGAUAGGACAGUGCCUGAGUCACGUGUGCUGCUCAAAGAGCUCCCCCGUGCAGACUCAGAUAAAGUGUUUCUGUGGGCACGGAGAGGCAUUCUUCCCAUGUGACUGGCCUCUGGGGACCUGGGGCUUUGUGGCUCAGGCAGUGGCUGCUUUGCUGCCGGGAGCCCGGAUGUGGUUUUGAGAAGGCUGGCCCUGUGAAGGGGUGUCAGCAGUCAUAGGUCAUGGGACUGGGCUUGUUGGGUCUGAGGAAACGGCCGUCUUUGUUGCUCUCUGGGUCCUGCCUCCCUUGGGCAGAAAAGGGGCUGGGAUUCUAGGAGGCGUGUGGGUGUGGGAUGACAGUUCAGUGGUGAGAAGGGGCUCUUGGCUCUUCUGAGGGGCUGGAUCUAUUGGGAAAUGGCAGGUCUUGGAGCCCGGAAAUUUUUGGUAAAGUGGAGAUUCAGAGGAGGAGAAGUUAACAUUUUUCUUUUUCUGUGUUAAGUUGGAGGAGUGACCGCUUCUGGCCAGGAAGGAACCUAUUCUUAGCCAUGUUGGGUCAGUGUGUGACCUGCAUCCUGGGCUGGGGCAGGAGUGAUCCGUGGAGCCACGAGUUCUGAUGGGAGGGUUUAUAUUAGGACUUGGUUAAACUGGACAGAGUUCCAGACCAGAAGAGAGAAACACAGUGCUGGUUUGACAUGGUUAUGUUGGGACUGGCUUCUCUUAGAUGGUCUUAUUUACCUAACCCCGGGGGGCGAGGGGAGGUGGCACUAUUUCUCUCUGGUGUCAGAGGAAGAUGGAAGCUUACUCAGGCACUGGUCUCUGUCUUUGCCUUCAGGUGGAAUAAAAUUCAAAGAUCAUUUAGAUCCUUAACUCAUUUCUCU
This 2239-nucleotide long non-coding RNA is filed under the name Sus scrofa (pig). Its description in RNAcentral is "lncRNA (ENSSSCG00040002171.1)". Lineage: Eukaryota; Metazoa; Chordata; Mammalia; Artiodactyla; Suidae. The record is from RNAcentral.